GAGGGUGGGCCAGUGGAGGGGCUCUUUCCCCCUGGGAAGGUGGGGAUGGAGAAGGCUCCUGGAAGGGCCACUUUGAACCACAUAAGAGCAUAUGGUAUGCCCGGCCCUGUAGGAGAGAGCAAGGUGCUCUGGGGACAGGGAAAUGAGUGUUCAGGCUGGGUGAGGACAGGACUGGUGACCUCACAAUGUUGCCCUGACCCCCUCAGCUUGGGGAGGCCCCGCCUACACCUAGUGUGAGUCAGACAUCAGGGCGGAAGCCCCCACCAGAGGAGGCUGGGGCCCAGCACCCAGUCCUGGGACCACCCUGGGACCACUGAAGGGACACCUUACUGCCAUUGUUUCUUCUCCAGAGUCCUGGCCUCCCCUGGAAAGACUGGCCUGGGAUCCAGGCUGUGAGAUGGGCUGAAAGGCGGUGAGGGGAGUCCUUUCAGGACAUUCACAUAAAGGCAUUGCUCAGCUGGUGAAUUUCUCUUUUUGCUGAAAACUCUGCCUCCCCCCAUCCAGGGGUUUGGCUGGACACCAGGCUUUUGGAAGGAUGAAUAUUUCACCAUAUGAUCUGGCCUAGCUUGGCAGUCAUGGUGCCUCAUGGAAACUGUGGGUUUCGGAGCUGAGGACACACCCAGAGCGGGCUUGCCUGGCCCCAUCCUCGGGCUUUCUGCCAUAUUAGCAUCUCAGUGUCUUGUCUGGACCCCGAGGCCUGCCCUGCACUGGGCUCUCAUGCAAGGACAGGAGAAGGAAGGGAAAAGGGGCACAGGGCUGGUGACAGAGACCAUCAGAGGCUGCAGAACUUGGGACUGCUACACUUUGACAGAAGAAACAUCAGAGGGCAAGUCUUGGACCUGGAGGUCUUCGUGGGUGCAGGGAGGCAUAGCAGAGCAACAGCGCUGAGCACCUGAGCCAAGUUCAAAGGGAACAGCUGCAUCCCUGCGGAGGCAUGUAGAAACAGUUGUCUUCCCAACUGAGAAGAUUGCAGCUAUAUGCAUAUCAUAUAUAUUAACCAUAUAACUAGAAAAAUAAUCAGAUGAGGGUCUGUCUAAGAUGCUGGAAGCAGGAUGUGCUGCAGACCUAAGGAAUGGCCCCAUGGCUGGACAUGGAGGCAACGGGGUAGUUUACACUCUGCCUUCCGGAGCUGAGCCUGGACUUCCUGCCCUGGGGUCCAUCUCUGUCAUUGGUGAUCUGUACCCAGUUUUCCUCUUCAUGGUUCAGGUGAAUGGGUGCUCCCAGCCAGUCCUGGCUUCCAGGUGCUCUGCAGUUCAGAGGGGCUGGCGGGCAGCAGCCGCUGCACUGCACCCGCGGCAGCACUGCAGGCUCCAUCAGGGCAUCCCCGUGCACCUGCCAUCCAGCAGACAUUUCCGCCUGCCUGUGGAGGACAGUCUGGGAGUCCCAGGGCCUCUCUACAAAGUGGACACAUGGAAGAAAACCUGGCUCCAAGCCCCACGCAUCCGGCCUGGGAUGUUGAUGUGCGUGCUGCCUCUGCCAGGGCAGGCACUCCUCCCCCAGUGCUGAUGUCCCUGUCUCAGCUUGGCCGCAUGUAGGAAGCAGCGCCAGGGCCCCAGCUGCUCUGCUCCUCCCCCCAGAAGGCAAUUCUCGUCCAGGGAGUUCAGGUAGCCAGUACCCUGGGCCUGAUGAGCCUCAGUUCCCAGCACUCUCUCUCCAUUCUGAUUGCUAGAGGACACUCCAGGCUGUCUUCCCCUCACCCCCUGCCCCGUCCCUGGCCUUGCACACACAUGUGGGUUGAAUGCACAGAAGAAAGAAUGGGUGAUCGCUUACGGUGAGGAGGAACCAGGCAGCCAGCGACAUCUAAAGCUGGAAGAGAACUCACAGAGGGUUCCCUUGGAAUCCCUUACUCUGUCUGUUUGGGCCCCUCUUCCAUGCUUGCUGGAAAAGAGGCUGGGAACUUGCCCAGUGUUGGCAGGAGUCUGUGGGGGCUCGAGGGUGUGUGGGGCAGAUCUUGGCUCACUGCAGGAGUUCAGUGUAGCUUCAAUCACUUACUGGAAGAUUCCACUGCUCUCCUGAGUCCCCAGACUGAACCCUGGAGUCUUCCACAAUCCAUGUUGUAACUGAUGACUCGUGCUGAUUUCUCUGUUCUACUUCUGGAAAUGGUUUUAGACUUGUGGGGCUGGUUGGGUAGAAUCCUACAAGAACAGAUAUGCAUUGCUUCCUUUCUGCAUGUCCCGUGACCGUGUCUGAGCUUCCGUUGCUACUGAGAGGACAGACAACAGAGAGCUUUACAAUUCCCUCUGCAAAUGUUGUGCUUAUUUGGAAUUUAGUUCUACAUUGGGUGAUGUGUCACAACUCUGCUAAAAUCAAUGAACUUCAAGGUCUUACAUUAGACCAACAAAUCUCUUGGACAUUCAGUGCUGAAACUCCUUUUGCACAUAUUCCUUCAGAAAUCUGAGAACCAGAUAGUUGGAAUUCUCUUUGCAGCCUGUUUUUAUGUUCAGCCACUUGGAAAUUUAGCACAUGGUGGGAACUCAAAUAUUUUGCUUAAUAAUUGCAGACUCAUUAGUUUCUGUACAACUAUGAGGGCAAACUAUUAAAUGACCCUCUAUGUAUAUGGGCCUUAAGAAGAUUAAAAACAUGAUUCUGUAGAACAUGAGUCUAUAGAAACAAUGUUGCCUCUGUCGUUUCUUCUAAGGUUUUAUUCUACUGAUAUUCUAUUACAUUCUAAUGUUGCUUCUAAUGUUAUAUUGAACGGGCAUUGUUUCAUCUUCUGAUUCCAGGAAGCAGAAGCAGAAUGGGAAAUGAGUGCCACCACUCUUGGAAGCUCACUAGAUCCGUGUCACAGAGCCACUGGGAUGGGAGGAUUUGUGCUGCCAGGGAGGUGGUUGGAGGUAGGCAGAGACCGGAAGCAGCUUGCUGGAGGAAGCUGUGAAAGUGAUCGUUAUCCGCUGGGGAUGCCAGAGAGGGACAAACAUUCUCAGAGACGCCACAUCAGGGCUGCUGGUCACCAGUUGCCACGCAGGAUGGGUGGUGCAGUGCCUCUCAAGGUGGUAUGCAGGCCACGCACAAGUGACCAGGUGACCCCGUCCUCUACUGACCCCUCACCCUGGUCAGCACAGAUUUACAAUAAACACCACGUGUCUGUGUCACACUUGGCCCUAGUAUGAGGCCAGGCAGGCCACGUGUCUGCGUUUCAGCAAAACGCAGCCCACCUGUUUCUGCAGCAUUUGCCUGAAAUGCAUCGGAGUCUAGCUGUCCACGGCUGGUGAGGGGUCCAAAUGCCCCUUAAAAUUAAGCUGAUUAAAGGUUUCUUUUCUCUAUUCUGAAGAAGCAAGUCAUGCUCCACCAGUGGAUAUCUGCAACUCAUCUUUACAAAAGGGUUUUCACACUCUAAGCUGGCUCAAACGAAGUGAUUUACAAAUCACUAAGCCUUUUCCCACCUUUCUUACACCUGGAUGGAAAAACCCUGCUUGUGUUUGAGGAGCAGCUGAGAACCAGACUGUGGGUUUGUUCGCCCAUGUGUCCUGAACUGAUUUCUACUUUUGGUUCUGAACGUGAUGUGAGCCCAGAACCGUCAUGGUGUUGCCCCCUCCAGGGUAGCCUGGAAAGCGGUUGCAGGGGUGACCUCUGGGAUGGGACACAAGGCAGCCUCAGCUGGGCCACACGACAGGCUCCUGGCGAAGCGGGGUUGGAGCUGGCUCCCGGAAGGGGUGGAAACAGCUUCGUCCUCAACAUCCGCAAUGUCUGCAGUUGCAGGAUUGCCUUGGAGAGAACUUGCCUGAGAUUUUCCUGGAGAGGAGUUCUGAAACUUUUCCAAAUCAUUAGCUAAAGGCUGCCCAAGCGAUUUCAUAGAGAGGAAGCAACUGUGGGGUUUGCACAGGCACUUGCUGACUCGGCAGCGCGGGCAGCGCCGACCUGGGGGUCCUCCCGCGGCUCCGUGAGCGUGGCGAGGGCCUAUCUUUCACCAUCGCCUCCGUGCGCAGUUCUGAUAACGGCUCCUUGUAGAACUACUAUGUGGAUUUAGCGGAGUUAUUGCCCGCAGAGCUCUCGGCUCUCUCUGGCACGUCGUGAACAAUGUGUGCAUUUUAAUUCCUGGAAUUCUUGAGGACAUACAGUAGGCACUGCUGCGUUCUUCUCUCGGAAAUCACCCAGAGCAGCAGGGAGAACGAAGCCAAAAUCUGCCUAUUUUUUGAUGAAUUAGGUGCAAGUACCCCCUGCCCCCAGCCACACAGCAUCGUCCCCCUCUUGCUCCACCCCAGGGCCUUGGCACCCGCUGUAUCUUCCCCUGUGUCGCACUUCCUCACCUGCUCACCUGUCGCAUCUUUUUUCUCCUGCUGCUGAAGGAGAGCCCCAGCACGUCGCGCUGUGUGUGCCUCUGCAGAGCCCAGCAGCGCCUAGCUCACGCGAGCAUGGGGUACAUGUCUGCUGAUGCUGUUGCUAUUACCAUCACGUCUGUGGGAUGGAGGAACAGGGCCGGGGGCACGGUGAGGUGGCAGAAUGUACUGACAGCACUUCCUGCCUGGAUCUUGGCCUUGUCUGGACAUUUCACAUCAGACACUUUCAGGCUCCUGCUUUGGAAGGGCAUCCAGAGGUUGCUUUGCUUUGCCCUGAUGAAUUGCAAGCGACUUCAGAUUCAUUACGCGUUGUGUGUGUCGUGCAGCUGGAUCCCACACUGACAGAGAUACAGACGUGCACGUUCAAGGAGAGCUACGCUAAGGAGGUCAAGCUGGGUUAUGUUAUGGCAAACGCACAUGCAUAUACAUGCGUACACACACAGACACACACAGACACACAGGGAGAUUCACAGAUACACAGAGACACACACAGACAGACACAGAGACACACAGAGAGACACAUGCGUGCUGGGCUUGGACAUAUCCAUCUCGGUCCCACUACAGGCUGUGAAAUGCCUCCUCCCCUCCCCCGCCCCAGGAGUGUCCGUCGGUGCCUAGAGGCAGGGCAGCUCCCAGAGCCUGGGCAGGUGCUGGUCCGAGCCCCUUCCCAUGGGCCCUGCUUCCCCUUCUCCUGCCUCCCACAGCCUCCCUCCUGCUCUCAGCAACCCGUUCGGUGAAAGUGAACGUGAGACUGGUCGUGAUCGGAAAAGCAAGUCCCUACAACCUGGGGCACAGGACCUGCAUGUGCCGCAGGCCUGGGCGUCCUCCUCCUCUCCUGGGCCUUGAGGGGCCUGGAGCCACAAAUGACCAGGUUUGCAGAUGCAGGUGGAGCUGCUCCUGCUCACCAGCGUGGGGCUGCCCCUGCUGGCCCAGCCAUUUGCUAAAAGCCACCGGUCCUUCUGUGCAGGCAGAGGCUGUGCCUUGGAAUCUCCCUCCUGGGAGGAGCAUUUUGAUUUCUGUCUCACUGAUUAGUAAACCGAGGCUCAGAAAGGUUAAUUAGCUUUCUCAGGAUCACACACCUUAUCUACCACAGAGCUGAAACGAGAAACGGUCCGCCCAAAAUCCUGUCCUCAAUUCCUAUGCUAAUACUGGAAAUUUCUGCAAACAAACCAUAUGAAACCAUAACGAGUUGGAGAGGCAGUGCAGUCUGGUAGAGUUUUGGGGUCAAGUUCUGUUGCCUCCACCUGUGGCUGCAGGGGGGUCACUUUAUUUCUCUGCACCAGUAAAAGAGAGAAAGGACACCUGGUGAGGUCAUCUCAGCUGGAAACAGACGUGCUCGGGAAACUGCCAGGUAUAUAAAUAUUCAUUACCAUUA
Molecule: non-coding RNA, 5652 nt
Organism: Microcebus murinus (gray mouse lemur)
Lineage: Eukaryota; Metazoa; Chordata; Mammalia; Primates; Cheirogaleidae
Source: RefSeq, a predicted model, not a curated record